GUGCCAGCAGCCGCGCGGUAAUACGUAGGGGGCGAGCGUUGUCCGAAUUUACUGGGCGUAAAGCGCGCGUAGGCGGACCUUUAAGUUGGUGGUGAAAUGCCGAGGCUCAACCUCGGAACUGCCUUCAAAACUGGAGGUCUGGAGGUAUGGAGAGGGAAGUGGAAUUCCUGGUGUAGCGGUGAAAUGCGUAGAUGUCAGGAGGAACACCUGUGGCGAAGGCGGCUUCCUGGCCAUAUCCUGACGCUGAGGUGCGAAAGCUAGGGUAGCGAACGGGAUUAGAUACCCCGGUAGUCCUAGCCGUAAACGAUGGAUACUAGGUGUUAUAGGUAUCGACCCCUGUAGUGCCGAAGCUAACGCAUUAAGUAUCCCGCCUGGGGAGUACGACCGCAAGGUUGAAACUCAAAGGAAUUGACGGGGGCCCGCACAAGCGGUGGAGCAUGUGGUUUAAUACGUCACUAACCGUAGAACCUUACCCAGGCUUGACAUCCGCUGAAAGCGCCUGAAAGGGUGGCCCUGAUAUGGAAACAUAUCACAGUGAGACAGGUGUUGCAUGGCUGUCGUCAGCUCGUGUCGUGAGAUGUUGGGUUAAGUCCCGCAACGAGCGCAACCCUCAUCCGAUGUUGCCAGCGUUAAGUCGGGAACUCUUCGGAAACUGCCCGUGCAAGCGGGAGGAAGGUGGGGAUGACGUCAAGUCAGCAUGGCCCUUACGUCUGGGGCUACACACAUGCUACAAUGGGCGUAAACAAAGGGCAGCGAAACCGCGAGGUGGAGCUAAUCUCAAAAACACGUCCUCAGUUCGGAUUGCAGUCUGCAACUCGACUGCAUGAAGUCGGAAUCGCUAGUAACCGCAGGUCAGCUAAACUGCGGUGAAUACGUUCCCGGGCCUUGUACACACCGCCCGUCACGCCACCUGAGUUGUCUGCACCCGAAGCUCGUGGCCUAACCCUGAGCUUGUCGAAGGGAAGGAGCGAUCGAAGGUGUGGGGAGCGAGGGGGACGAGUCGUACAGGUA
Molecule: ribosomal RNA, 1011 nt
Filed under: uncultured bacterium
Lineage: Bacteria
Description: bacterial SSU rRNA
Rfam family: Bacterial small subunit ribosomal RNA
Source: RNAcentral